RNAcentral lists this ribosomal RNA (452 nucleotides) under uncultured Pseudomonas sp. Its description in RNAcentral is "bacterial SSU rRNA". It matches the Rfam family "Bacterial small subunit ribosomal RNA", at positions 49 to 496 of the family's 1533-position model. Lineage: Bacteria; Pseudomonadati; Pseudomonadota; Gammaproteobacteria; Pseudomonadales; Pseudomonadaceae. The record is from RNAcentral.
UAACACAUGCAAGUCGAGCGGAUGACGGGAGCUUGCUCCUUGAUUCAGCGGCGGACGGGUGAGUAAUGCCUAGGAAUCUGCCUGGUAGUGGGGGACAACGUUUCGAAAGGAACGCUAAUACCGCAUACGUCCUACGGGAGAAAGCAGGGGACCUUCGGGCCUUGCGCUAUCAGAUGAGCCUAGGUCGGAUUAGCUAGUUGGUGGGGUAAUGGCUCACCAAGGCGACGAUCCGUAACUGGUCUGAGAGGAUGAUCAGUCACACUGGAACUGAGACACGGUCCAGACUCCUACGGGAGGCAGCAGUGGGGAAUAUUGGACAAUGGGCGAAAGCCUGAUCCAGCCAUGCCGCGUGUGUGAAGAAGGUCUUCGGAUUGUUAAGCACUUUAAGUUGGGAGGAAGGGCAGUAAGUUAAUACCUUGCUGUUUUGACGUUACCGACAGAAUAAGCACCGG